AGUGAACGCUGGCGGUAGGCCUAACACAUGCAAGUCGAACGGCAGCACAGUAAGAGCUUGCUCUUACGGGUGGCGAGUGGCGGACGGGUGAGGAAUACAUCGGAAUCUACUUUUUCGUGGGGGAUAACGUAGGGAAACUUACGCUAAUAUCGCAUACGACCUACGGGUGAAAGCAGGGGAUCUUCGGACCUUGCGCGAUUGAAUGAGCCGAUGUCGGAUUAGCUAGUUGGCGGGGUAAAGGCCCACCAAGGCGACGAUCCGUAGCUGGUCUGAGAGGAUGAUCAGCCACACUGGAACUGAGACACGGUCCAGACUCCUACGGGAGGCAGCAGUGGGGAAUAUUGGACAAUGGGCGCAAGCCUGAUCCAGCCAUACCGCGUGGGUGAAGAAGGCCUUCGGGUUGUAAAGCCCUUUUGUUGGGAAAGAAAAGCAGCAGAUUAAUACCCCGCUGUUCUGACGGUACCCAAAGAAUAAGCACCGGCUAACUUCGUG
RNAcentral lists this ribosomal RNA (492 nucleotides) under uncultured bacterium. Its description in RNAcentral is "partial 16S ribosomal RNA". It matches the Rfam family "Bacterial small subunit ribosomal RNA", at positions 29 to 507 of the family's 1533-position model. The record is from RNAcentral.